This 493-nucleotide ribosomal RNA is filed under the name uncultured bacterium. RNAcentral describes it as "bacterial SSU rRNA". It matches the Rfam family "Bacterial small subunit ribosomal RNA", at positions 54 to 543 of the family's 1533-position model. The record is from RNAcentral.
CAUGCAAGUCGAACGGUAACAGGUCUUCGGAUGCUGACGAGUGGCGAACGGGUGAGUAAUACAUCGGAACGUGCCCGAUCGUGGGGGAUAACGAGGCGAAAGCUUUGCUAAUACCGCAUACGAUCUACGGAUGAAAGCGGGGGAUCUUCGGACCUCGCGCGGACGGAGCGGCCGAUGGCAGAUUAGGUAGUUGGUGGGAUAAAAGCUUACCAAGCCGACGAUCUGUAGCUGGUCUGAGAGGAUGAUCAGCCACACUGGGACUGAGACACGGCCCAGACUCCUACGGGAGGCAGCAGUGGGGAAUUUUGGACAAUGGGCGAAAGCCUGAUCCAGCCAUGCCGCGUGCAGGAUGAAGGCCUUCGGGUUGUAAACUGCUUUUGUACGGAACGAAAAGCCUCUUUCUAAUAAAGAGGGGUCAUGACGGUACCGUAAGAAUAAGCACCGGCUAACUACGUGCCAGCAGCCGCGGUAAUACGUAGGGUGCAAGCGNUAA